AGAUUGAACGCUGGCGGCAGGCCUAACACAUGCAAGUCGAGCGGUAGAGAGGUGCUUGCAUCUCUUGAGAGCGGCGGACGGGUGAGUAAUGCCUAGGAAUCUGCCUAGUGGUGGGGGAUAACGUUCGGAAACGGACGCUAAUACCGCAUACGUCCUACGGGAGAAAGCGGGGGAUCUUCGGACCUCGCGCCAUUAGAUGAGCCUAGGUCGGAUUAGCUAGUUGGUGAGGUAAUGGCUCACCAAGGCGACGAUCCGUAACUGGUCUGAGAGGAUGAUCAGUCACACUGGAACUGAGACACGGUCCAGACUCCUACGGGAGGCAGCAGUGGGGAAUAUUGGACAAUGGGCGAAAGCCUGAUCCAGCCAUGCCGCGUGUGUGAAGAAGGUCUUCGGAUUGUAAAGCACUUUAAGUUGGGAGGAAGGGUAGUAACCUAAUACGUUGCUACUUUGACGUUACCGACAGAAUAAGCACCGGCUAACUUCGUG
Molecule: ribosomal RNA, 486 nt
Filed under: uncultured bacterium
Lineage: Bacteria
Description: bacterial SSU rRNA
Rfam family: Bacterial small subunit ribosomal RNA
Source: RNAcentral